Molecule: ribosomal RNA, 495 nt
Filed under: Gnathophis ginanago
Lineage: Eukaryota; Metazoa; Chordata; Actinopteri; Anguilliformes; Congridae
Description: partial 16S ribosomal RNA
Rfam family: Bacterial large subunit ribosomal RNA
Source: RNAcentral
UCCUGACCGUGCGAAGGUAGCGUAAUCACUUGUCUUUUAAAUGAAGACCUGUAUGAAUGGCAUAACGAGGGUUUAACUGUCUCCUCCUCCCAGUCAAUGAAAUUGAUCUGCCCGUGCAGAAGCGGACAUAAAAACAUAAGACGAGAAGACCCUAUGGAGCUUUAGGCCAAGGACCAAUCAUGUUAAGAGACUACAAAAAUCAACAAGAACAAAAAAGUCAACAAACCAAGUGCAACCUCGUCCAAGUGCCUUCGGUUGGGGCGACCACGGGGAAAAAAGAAACCCCCACAUGGAAUGGGAAUUAUUCCCUUAAACCAAGAAAAACAAUUCUAAGCAACAGAACAUCUGACCAAUAUAUGACCCAGGAAAACACAUCCUGAUCAAUGAACCAAGUUACCCUAGGGAUAACAGCGCAAUCCUUUCCCAGAGCCCAUAUCGACGAAAGGGUUUACGACCUCGAUGUUGGAUCAGGACAUCCUAAUGGUGCAGCCGCUA